GCCUGGGUGGCUCAGUAGGUUAAGUGUCUGACUUUGGCUCAGCUCACGAUGUCACGGUUCAUGGGUUCGAGCCCCAUGUCGGGCU
RNAcentral lists this transfer RNA (85 nucleotides) under Felis catus (domestic cat). It matches the Rfam family "tRNA". Rfam says of the family: Transfer RNA (tRNA) molecules are approximately 80 nucleotides in length. The record is from Rfam by way of RNAcentral. Lineage: Eukaryota; Metazoa; Chordata; Mammalia; Carnivora; Felidae.